GCCUGCUGGCCACGGAUGAGCUCAGUCGGUGGAGCAUGAGGCUCUAAUCACAGGGUUGUGGGUUCAAGUCCCACAAUGGGCA
Molecule: non-coding RNA, 82 nt
Organism: Podarcis lilfordi (Lilford's wall lizard)
Lineage: Eukaryota; Metazoa; Chordata; Lepidosauria; Squamata; Lacertidae
Source: the annotation of a GenBank genome assembly